RNAcentral lists this transfer RNA (77 nucleotides) under Porphyromonas cangingivalis. Its description in RNAcentral is "tRNA-Lys(ctt)". It matches the Rfam family "tRNA". Rfam says of the family: Transfer RNA (tRNA) molecules are approximately 80 nucleotides in length. Their secondary structure includes four short double-helical elements and three loops (D, anti-codon, and T loops). Lineage: Bacteria; Pseudomonadati; Bacteroidota; Bacteroidia; Bacteroidales; Porphyromonadaceae. The record is from RNAcentral.
UGACUCCGUAGCUCAGCUGGUAGAGCAAAUGACUCUUAAUCAUUGGGUCGAGAGUUCGAAUCUCUCCGGGGUCACCC